GUGAAAACAGCCUAUGGAAUCUGUCAACAUGUAAACCCUCCUCAAACGAUCACCAAAGUGAAGACGAGUUACUCACAAAAUCUAAAUCCUCAAAAUGUAGGGAUAAGAAAAGCCCUCAUAUUGCCUAAUUGAUUCUCAGAAUACACCAAGCAUGCCAGCGAUUAAGGGUCAGCAAGUGAAGUUUUCAGAACUCAACUGUUU
Molecule: unclassified non-coding RNA, 201 nt
Filed under: Hevea brasiliensis (rubber tree)
Lineage: Eukaryota; Viridiplantae; Streptophyta; Magnoliopsida; Malpighiales; Euphorbiaceae
Source: RNAcentral